AAAAUAACCCGCGAAACCGAAGACACCAACCCAGGCUACCUAGCACAGCGGCGAUUCUGACUCUGUUCACUUCUUCUCCUCCUCCAGUCCUCCUCUCGGUCACCGAGCUCCAGGAGUCCCGACCUCCAGUUCUUCACAUCGUUAGCGGGUUAUUCACUUAUUCUUCUACUUCAAUUGAUCAGUUAUUCGGCAGCUGGGCGGCUCGGCCAUUUGAAAUUGAAAUUGAAUCCGUCAGGUUAAAGAGGAUAGCAGAUGGGCUGCUACCACUAUCAGAUGAUCUACGAUAUGGCAAGACCUUGGUCGAAUAUUGUAUCAGAAAUCAGAAGUGCUUCAUAAUCAUAGAUGUUGGGUGGGAGCGCGGGGUAAUCAAAAGCUGUUUGAAUUUCCGUAAAUAGAGACAACAGUGGGAGCAAAGAGGAAAGCAUGGAUACCAGCAGGAUUAAAGCACACAAGGCCGACUCAAUGUAUUUUCAGCCUUUUCUACUAGCAUCUUCAUCGGUUUCGCAUCAUUCAGUACUGAGGAUCACACAACCCUUUGGAACUAAAACAUUAAGAGGAGCAUUGGCAAUGCCAUUGAUGAUCCAAGGAAUGAAGAAGGAUGUAAUUUAGUAUUCCAUCAUUACAUGCCGAAAACCUGAAUAGACCACAGUAUGAUGGGGGGUUUCUACAGAAUGUAAGUGCUCUUAUACACUCAUAUCCAUGCCUUUAUUUCUUUGGCUACAAAUCUCAGCUUUCACUUCAUCUAUACAAUUGUGUGCCUUGAUUUGCACUUAGGAGGAUCAUAAUCAAUAAGUGAAGCAUGACAGUGCCAUUGAUGAUUUAAGGACACAUGAAAGGUCCAAGUAUUCGGUAACUAUUCACGAAAGCCUUAGUAUGAUGGGGUUUCUACUCUGUCAGUGCAGUUUUAAUUUGUCUGUCUGCAAGUCUUGCAGAUGGAAACAAAAUCUGUAGAUGCAUCUUAUUUAUCCCAAAUGUGUGCCUUACUUUUUGUAAUCAUCAGUCAUCAGACAAUUUCUCGCUAUACCUCAUUUUUUAUAUAUGGUAAGUAUGCAAAAAAAAACUCAACCCCGCAUCAUCGCGCGGGCUACUUGACUAGUUCAUAUAAUUUUAUGUUUUUCAUUUGCUUAAUGAUUUCGGCCUUAUAAAAUUACUAUUGGACCGCAUGAGAAUUCUUUAAAUUGCAUCCUUAUCCAAAAUUCUUUUAAUGGCUUCCUCUUAUUUUUGCAGAAUUGUAGGUCUCGUUUAGUUCGAACACAGUUUAUCUCUAUAUUGCAACAAUAUCUGAACUGAUUGAACAAAAUACGUCGUUCCAUACACUAUCCAAUUGAUUUUUCCUCAAGUUCUUAACUACAUGCUGACCCAUUUUUUACAUUUAUUCAAGCUGAAGCUGUUUGGUCAUGGUGAGAAGGAAGCAAACCGCUAAUCGUAUUCGAAAUUCCACUUUGGAGGGUAAUGCUAAGCGUACCGGUCAAAGAACCAAUAACCCGCCUGGGGUUGUAAUGGCCAUUUGAAGGGUUGAUUUUUAUAUGAUAGCACACUUCUAAUGGAAAUACGUUGACCCCCUUGGGCUUUUAGUGAUGCCAAUUUAGUUUAUGGUGUUUUACCGUAAUUCUCUCGAGCAAUAAUGCUUCCCAAUUUAGUCUACGUUAUGUUUCACCGGAUAAGUAGGCACUGCAUUAUGGUUAUUUCUUGAUACAUGUCCUGUCCGUGCUAAGCUCAGCUCAAAGAACACUAGUGUAAACCAUGUUGUAGUCUCCAAUGUGAUGUUUUCGAAACCAAAGAUGUAGACGAUAAAAAAGUCAACUAAUUAUAUUGAAGUGCCUAUAUUGAAAUGGAAAUUGCA
Molecule: long non-coding RNA, 1843 nt
Organism: Rosa rugosa (rugosa rose)
Lineage: Eukaryota; Viridiplantae; Streptophyta; Magnoliopsida; Rosales; Rosaceae
Exons: 7
Source: RefSeq, a predicted model, not a curated record